UUAUCAAUGGGUAAACAAUUUCAAGCAAUAUUGAGCAAACAAUUUUAACAACAAAUUCAAAUCCAACAAGAAAUUAAUUUCAGCAACAAAUUCAAACAAAAUCAACAAAUUGAUUCCACUAACAAAUUUAAGAAAUUCCUAACAAUAAAUUUUAGCAACAAAUCGAUUCCACAACAAAUUUAAGAAAUUACAUCAACAAAUUCAAUCAAUUUCAACAAAAAGAUUCGACCAAAAAUUUGAGGGUUUUCGUGCUCACUGGGAGACGGCGAUUUGAGGGAUGCGACAAUUUGGGGGAGGCGGCGACUUGGGAUUUUCGAUUCAGAGGGAGGCGGUCAUUUGGGGAAGGCGGUCGACAAUUUGGGGGAGGCGGUGAUUUCGCACAAACGAAGAAGAAGAAGAAGGUUGAGGCUUUAGAGGCGGUUACCUGAGAAAUAGAGAGAGCGAGGGAUGAAGGGCGACGCAGAGAAAGGGGUCAGCGGCGGCGUUGACUGGGCUCGGCGGCGGCUGUCCGACCGUGAACGGAGAAGUGACUGGGCUCUGCGGCGGUGGUGUUCCGGUCGUGACGCUCAAGGGAACGGUGAGAGAGAGAGAGAGAGAGAUGAAGCUAGGGGAUUUAGGGUAGAUUCUGGAUUUUGGGGAUUUAGGGUUGAGUGGUGAGAGAGAGAGAGAGAGAUGAAGCCAGGGGAGCGACGCUCAAGCGCGUCUUCGCCGGAGAGGGAACCGCGGCGGUCUCAGCCCUCGCUGCUGUCACCUUCGCCGGCAGUAGAUGAAGGCAGCGCGGCGUCUGAGAUGAAGGGUGUGUGAGAGUUUGAGAAGAGAGCGAGGGCGUGAGGCGAGAGGUGAGAGAAUGGAGGUGCACCGGUGGUGGUUCCCGGAGAGUCGGCGAUGCCGGUGAGGAAGGAGGGGGAGGAGGGGGGCGCCGCUGCAUCUAUGUGUGUGUUGUGUGUGUUUUGUGAGUGUGUGCGUGUGUUUUAUUAGAAUU
Molecule: long non-coding RNA, 982 nt
Filed under: Salvia miltiorrhiza (redroot sage)
Lineage: Eukaryota; Viridiplantae; Streptophyta; Magnoliopsida; Lamiales; Lamiaceae
Description: long non-coding RNA (SMIL_LNC002889)
Source: RNAcentral